RNAcentral lists this ribosomal RNA (206 nucleotides) under uncultured bacterium. RNAcentral's name for it is "partial 16S ribosomal RNA". It matches the Rfam family "Bacterial small subunit ribosomal RNA", at positions 568 to 774 of the family's 1533-position model. The record is from RNAcentral.
AGCGUAGGCGGAUGAUUAAGUGGGAUGUGAAAGCCCGGAGCUCAAUUCCGGAAUGGCAUUGGAAACUGGUUAACUUGAGUGCAGUAGAGGUAAGUGGAACUCCAUGUGUAGCGGUGAAAUGCGUAGAUAUUAGGAGGAACACCAGUGGCGAAGGCGGCCUGCUGGACUGUUACUGACACUGAGGCACGAAAGCGUGGGAGCAAACA